RNAcentral lists this ribosomal RNA (292 nucleotides) under uncultured bacterium. RNAcentral describes it as "partial 16S ribosomal RNA". It matches the Rfam family "Bacterial small subunit ribosomal RNA", at positions 505 to 796 of the family's 1533-position model. The record is from RNAcentral.
GUGCCAGCAGCCGCGGUAAGACGAAGGUGACAACCGUUACUCGGAAUCACUGGGCAUAAAGCGCGCGUAGGUGGCUGGGUAAGUCCAUGGUGAAAUCCCUCGGCUCAACCGAGGAACGGCCGUGGAUACUGCCUGGCUUGAGGUCGGGAGGGGAAAGUGGAACUCUCGGUGUAGCGGUGAAAUGCGUAGAUAUCGAGAGGAACGCCGGUGGCGAAAGCGACUUUCUGGACCGUACCUGACACUGAGGCGCGAAAGCUAGGGGAGCAAACAGGAUUAGAAACCCCUGUAGUCC